GACGAACGCUGGCGGCGUGCUUAACACAUGCAAGUCGAACGGAAAGGCCCUGCUUUUGUGGGGUGCUCGAGUGGCGAACGGGUGAGUAACACGUGAGUAACCUGCCCUUGACUUUGGGAUAACUUCAGGAAACUGGGGCUAAUACCGGAUAGGAGCUCCUGCUGCAUGGGGGGGGUUGGAAAGUUUCGGCGGUUGGGGAUGGACUCGCGGCUUAUGAGCUUGUUGGUGGGGUAGUGGCUUACCAAGGCUUUGACGGGUAGCCGGCCUGAGAGGGUGACCGGCCACCAUGGUACUGAGGUACGGCCCAGACUGCUACGGGAGGCAGAAGUGGGGAAUAUUGCACAAUGGGCGGAAGCCUGAUGCAGCAACGCCGCGUGCGGGAUGACCGCCUUCGGGUUGUAAACCGCUUUCGCCUGUGACGAAGCGUGAGUGACGGUAAUGGGUAAAGAAGCACCGGCUAACUACGUG
RNAcentral lists this ribosomal RNA (468 nucleotides) under uncultured bacterium. RNAcentral's name for it is "partial 16S ribosomal RNA". It matches the Rfam family "Bacterial small subunit ribosomal RNA", at positions 28 to 507 of the family's 1533-position model. The record is from RNAcentral.